This 357-nucleotide ribosomal RNA is filed under the name uncultured Citrobacter sp. RNAcentral's name for it is "bacterial SSU rRNA". It matches the Rfam family "Bacterial small subunit ribosomal RNA", at positions 505 to 864 of the family's 1533-position model. The record is from RNAcentral. Lineage: Bacteria; Pseudomonadati; Pseudomonadota; Gammaproteobacteria; Enterobacterales; Enterobacteriaceae.
GUGCCAGCCGCCGCGGUAAUACGGAGGGUGCAAGCGUUAAUCGGAAUUACUGGGCGUAAAGCGCACGCAGGCGGUCUGACAAGUCGGAUGUGAAAUCCCCGGGCUCAACCCGGGAACUGCAUUCGAAACUGUCAGGCUGGAGUCUUGUAGAGGGGGGUAGAAUUCCAGGUGUAGCGGUGAAAUGCGUAGAGAUCUGGGAGGAAUACCGGUGGCGAAGGCGGCCCCCUGGACAAGACUGACGCUCAGUGCGAAAGCGUGGGGAGCAAACAGGAUUAGAUACCCCUGGUAGUUCACGCUGUAAACGAUGUCGACUUGGAGUUGUGCCCUUGAGCGUGGCUUCGGAGCUAACGCGUUAAG